Molecule: long non-coding RNA, 206 nt
Organism: Alexandromys fortis (reed vole)
Lineage: Eukaryota; Metazoa; Chordata; Mammalia; Rodentia; Cricetidae
Exons: 3
Source: RefSeq, a predicted model, not a curated record
GGCUUAUUAUGUGGCCGUUGGGAUCUGAACUCAGUUUCCAUUGUUGCAUAUUGCUUUGGUUAUGGUAUUUUACCAUGGUGAUGGACAGAAGGCUCAUCUUUUGGAUAUGAGUAAUUGGUGGAACAACCUAGGACCAUGGCAGCCAAUGGUCCCCAGACAAAUACUUGUUGAAGUACAGUUAAAGAAGAUGGGAGGAGAUGUUGGCC